Molecule: ribosomal RNA, 325 nt
Filed under: uncultured Actinomycetes bacterium
Lineage: Bacteria; Bacillati; Actinomycetota; Actinomycetes
Description: bacterial SSU rRNA
Rfam family: Bacterial small subunit ribosomal RNA
Source: RNAcentral
GAUGAACGCUGGCGGCGUGCUUAACACAUGCAAGUCGAACGAUGAAGCUGGGGCUUGCUCUGGUGGAUUAGUGGCGAACGGGUGAGUAACACGUGAGUAACCUGCCCUUGACUCUGGGAUAAGCGUUGGAAACGACGUCUAAUACCGGAUACGAGCUUCAGUCGCAUGACUAGGAGUUGGAAAGAAUUUUGGUCAAGGAUGGACUCGCGGCCUAUCAGGUAGUUGGUGAGGUAAUGGCUCACCAAGCCGACGACGGGUAGCCGGCCUGAGAGGGUGACCGGCCACACUGGGACUGAGACACGGCCCAGACUCCUACGGGAGGCUG